This 746-nucleotide ribosomal RNA is filed under the name Shewanella algae. RNAcentral describes it as "bacterial SSU rRNA". It matches the Rfam family "Bacterial small subunit ribosomal RNA", at positions 348 to 1086 of the family's 1533-position model. Lineage: Bacteria; Pseudomonadati; Pseudomonadota; Gammaproteobacteria; Alteromonadales; Shewanellaceae. The record is from RNAcentral.
GCAGCAGUGGGGAAUAUUGCACAUGGGGGAAACCCUGAUGCAGCCAUGCCGCGUGUGUGAAGAAGGCCUUCGGGUUGUAAAGCACUUUCAGCGAGGAGGAAAGGGUGUAAGUUAAUACCUUACAUCUGUGACGUUACUCGCAGAAGAAGCACCGGCUAACUCCGUGCCAGCAGCCGCGGUAAUACGGAGGGUGCGAGCGUUAAUCGGAAUUACUGGGCGUAAAGCGUGCGCAGGCGGUUUGUUAAGCGAGAUGUGAAAGCCCCGGGCUCAACCUGGGAACCGCAUUUCGAACUGGCAAACUAGAGUCUUGUAGAGGGGGGUAGAAUUCCAGGUGUAGCGGUGAAAUGCGUAGAGAUCUGGAGGAAUACCGGUGGCGAAGGCGGCCCCCCUGGACAAAGACUGACGCUCAGGCACGAAAGCGUGGGGAGCAAACAGGAUUAGAUACCCUGGUAGUCCACGCCGUAAACGAUGUCUACUCGGAGUUUGGUGUCUUGAACACUGGGCUCUCAAGCUAACGCAUUAAGUAGACCGCCUGGGGAGUACGGCCGCAAGGUUAAAACUCAAAUGAAUUGACGGGGGCCCGCACAAGCGGUGGAGCAUGUGGUUUAAUUCGAUGCAACGCGAAGAACCUUACCUACUCUUGACAUCCAGAGAACUUUCCAGAGAUGGAUUGGUGCCUUCGGGAACUCUGAGACAGGUGCUGCAUGGCUGUCGUCAGCUCGUGUUGUGAAAUGUUGGGUUAAGUC